AAAAACAUAAAAUACAAUAUACAAGAGUGGAGUUAUCAUACAUGGCCACAUACAAUAAUAUAAAAAGAAAACAAUCAAGUAAAAGCUAAAAAAACAUUAAAGAGCAUAAAACAAAACAACCCAAUAAACAUAAGGGUGUAGAGAUAAAAACCACUAUUGCAACACAAUCUGCUUCGUCCAGCUCAUGCCCAAAUGAACGUAAGGGUGCAAUGGUGAAGUUUGGGGUGCCACUGGUGAAUGUUGGCCCAAGACCAAGGCCCAUUUUUGCUCCCAAAUCAGAAACCCUAAGGUUUCUUCCUCUCCACUCUUGUUUCACUCUUGUUUCCUCCGCAAGAGCUCCUUCUCUUCUCCUUCCUUCAUGAGUGUUGGCCAUAGCCAGCUUGCUUGCGCCUCCACCAUUCUCCGCUGUCGGGGUCGUUGCCGCAGCUGCAUCAAACGAGGUCAUCGACAAAAACGAGGUCGUCGAUGAAAACGAGGCCAGCCACCACACCGCCUCCGCUGAGUCAAGCCGUCGUCACCGGGAUUGUCGCCGGCGACGCUUGUUACGGCCGGGGGAACCACCAGAGUUCCCCUUUCCUUUCUUCCAAACGUUAGGGUUUCUUCCCUCCUUUUCAACUCUGCAACGCUCACUAGGACGAUAGAGACGCCGCCGUGGUCCGCUCCUGUCGGGUUCAUUACCGGUGGCUAAUGGAGCCGCCGGGGAUGUCACCCACGCCAACACAACACUUUCUCCUCCGGUCCACGUCGACCACCACAACUCUAGGCACCUGAGUCACGCUGCUACGCCUUUCACCUCGAGCUAGUCAAUGACGACUACAUCAACAACUAUAGUGUUCUUAUCGGCUGCCACUCCUUGCCGAGGGCAUCACGGAGCUACCAAUAUCACACCCUUCUCCAAGGGGAAGAGUGCUUGCUGGAAGAAGCCUUGGAAGAAGUGGAGGUUAAGGCUGAACCUUAAGACCGUUCGAUAAUUAGAGAUUUUCAUUCUGUAUAACCGUUCGGUAUAAGAAUAGUUUUGAGAACCGUUCGGUCUAGUUCUUCUUUAUGUAAAGUUUUAAAUUCUAUGGUAUUUUUGUAAGGUCGUUCGACCAUAAUCGUACCUUCUUUCCCUUGCAGAACUGAACUGUAAUAUUAUUAAUAUGUGAUUAUUCUAUGAUAUGAUUUUACACUGUA
Vigna angularis (adzuki bean) is the source of this 1173-nucleotide long non-coding RNA. RefSeq lists it as uncharacterized. The record is from RefSeq and is a predicted model, not a curated record. Lineage: Eukaryota; Viridiplantae; Streptophyta; Magnoliopsida; Fabales; Fabaceae. The transcript has 2 exons.